GCCGAAGUGGCGGAAUUGGCAGACGCGCUGGAUUCAAAAUCCAGUGGCCGCAAGGUCGUGUGGGUUCGAGUCCCACCUUCGGUAC
RNAcentral lists this transfer RNA (85 nucleotides) under Stieleria varia. RNAcentral's name for it is "Planctomycetes bacterium Pla52n tRNA-Leu". It matches the Rfam family "tRNA". From Rfam's summary of the family: Transfer RNA (tRNA) molecules are approximately 80 nucleotides in length. Their secondary structure includes four short double-helical elements and three loops (D, anti-codon, and T loops). Lineage: Bacteria; Pseudomonadati; Planctomycetota; Planctomycetia; Pirellulales; Pirellulaceae. The record is from RNAcentral.